CCGUGAUAAAAAUCGAUAAUUUAAAAAACGUUGCAACUGCUCUCAAGUAGUAUUUGUCUAAAAAAAGUUAACGCGUCAAUUUGUCCGAUCAUAUUUUAUUUUUAAACUUUAUUCAGAAAAUAAUCGCCUUUGCACACGACAACAGAGUUUUUAGCGCUGCCAUACGGUGGAUGGUGGAGGAUUCGUUAAUUAUUCGGGAAUUAUCGUUCACGAUCGGAAGUUAUACUUCUCCACGUGGUUUUUAUGAACUCGUAUCUAGUAAUUUCACCUAAUCUACAGAAGUAGCCACAAGUCGCUCAACGUCUACUGUCUUGUAUGGAAUGCGCGUUAUGGCGCAGUUUCUCCCUCCUCGUCGUUUCCGUUACGUCAUAUUGCAACUUUGGUCUCGUUAUCCUGUUUACGUACAACAACAGCAAGGUUUAUAAAAAAACAACAUAUUUAACAUAAAACACAACAGUUUUAUAAAAAUUGUGUAGCAAAUUUGUUUCGCGGCUUUUGGNAUUUUUUUGUCUUUUGUUUUUAUUUGGGGAAUUUCAAUGUUAUUCAUUUUGAUGUACGUUAGAGGACUACAAAUAUUUCGGAACUGUAUUUUGUCGAAAAGAUUUUUUUCGGAAAAAUAUUUAGUCGGAUAAUAUUUUAUCGGAAACUUAUUUUGUCGGAAAAUAAUUUUUACCUAACGACGAUAACAUGCAAACACGAAAUGCUUAUGAUGAAAUUACAUU
This is a non-coding RNA of Cinara cedri, 722 nucleotides long. NCBI's taxonomy places the organism in Eukaryota, Metazoa, Arthropoda, Insecta, Hemiptera, Aphididae. The record is from the annotation of a GenBank genome assembly.